AAUCAACGCUGGCGGCGUAGCCUCAGACAAUGCAAGUCGAACGAUUAAAGCUCUCUUCGGAGAGUGUAUAGAGUGGCGCACGGGUGAGUAACACGUAAGUAAUCUACCUUUGAGUGGGGAAUAACCCGGGGAACCCGAGCUAAUACCGCAUAAUGCAGCGGCACCGCAAGGUGACAGUUGUUAAAGGAGCAAUCCGCUUAAAGAGGAGCUUGCGGCAGAUUAGCAGUUGGUAAGGUAAUGGCUUACCAAGGCUUCGAUCUGUAUCCGGCCUGGAGAGGGCGGUCGGACACACUGACACUGAAUAACGGGUCAGACUCCUACGGGAGGCAGCAGUCGGGAAUUUUGGGCAAUGGGCGAAAGCCUGACCCAGCAACGCCGCGUGAAGGAUGAAGUAUUUCGGUAU
This 403-nucleotide ribosomal RNA is filed under the name uncultured bacterium. RNAcentral's name for it is "bacterial SSU rRNA". It matches the Rfam family "Bacterial small subunit ribosomal RNA", at positions 32 to 424 of the family's 1533-position model. The record is from RNAcentral.